GAAAAAUUAGUUAAUUAAUAACAGUAGUAUGUCAAACUAAAAUAAUCAAUUUUGAUAUUUUUCU
This 64-nucleotide transfer RNA is filed under the name Cryptocercus sp. 1 ZQW-2021c. RNAcentral describes it as "tRNA-Asp". The record is from RNAcentral. Lineage: Eukaryota; Metazoa; Arthropoda; Insecta; Blattodea; Cryptocercidae.